GGAGAGGUGCGAGAGCGGCCGAUUCGGCACGAUUGGAAAUCGUGUGUGCAGCAAUGCACCGUGGGUUCGAAUCCCACCCUCUCCG
RNAcentral lists this transfer RNA (85 nucleotides) under Chloroflexota bacterium. RNAcentral's name for it is "Chloroflexi bacterium (anaerobic digester metagenome) tRNA-Ser". It matches the Rfam family "tRNA". From Rfam's summary of the family: Transfer RNA (tRNA) molecules are approximately 80 nucleotides in length. Their secondary structure includes four short double-helical elements and three loops (D, anti-codon, and T loops). The record is from RNAcentral. Lineage: Bacteria; Bacillati; Chloroflexota.